UGCUGCACGUUCAGAGCUGCGGCUGAGCUUAGAAACAAAAUCACGGCUCUGCCCUGAGUCGUGACACUGGACGUGAGCGCUGUGAGCGGUCCCUGCCAUUCCAGCUCAGGGAUGCUGUGGAGCACGAGGUCUCAAGACUUCCUUCAGUCGUUAUAAACACCACAGAAAAGUUAUCUCAAACAGAGAAAUAAAAAAAAAAACAAACUCAAUCAAAGGGAUUUCAGUAUAACCAAGUUAUCCCAACAUGGAUUCUCUCACCAAGGGAAGAACAUCCAGUCACAGACUUCCCACCUAACAAAGAACAACGAAUUUACUCCAGAUUUACUCCAGAGUCUGCAGCCUCAGUCACACAAACCUAGCAGGAAAGCAAAAAAAACUUUCAGGUGAGUGCAGCCUGGAAGACACCCCACUGCCAUGGGAUACAUGAAAAUCCAUC
Sturnus vulgaris (Common starling) is the source of this 436-nucleotide non-coding RNA. NCBI's taxonomy places the organism in Eukaryota, Metazoa, Chordata, Aves, Passeriformes, Sturnidae. The record is from RefSeq and is a predicted model, not a curated record.